AGUGAACGCUGGCGGUAGGCCUAACACAUGCAAGUCGAACGGCAGCACAGUAAGAGCUUGCUCUUACGGGUGGCGAGUGGCGGACGGGUGAGGAAUACAUCGGAAUCUACUUUUUCGUGGGGGAUAACGUAGGGAAACUUACGCUAAUACCGCAUACGACCUACGGGUGAAAGCAGGGGAUCUUCGGACCUUGCGCGAUUGAAUGAGCCGAUGUCGGAUUAGCUAGUUGGCGGGGUAAAGGCCCACCAAGGCGACGAUCCGUAGCUGGUCUGAGAGGAUGAUCAGACACACUGGAACUGAGACACGGUCCAGACUCCUACGGGAGGCAGCAGUGGGGAGUAGUGGACAAUGGGCGCAAGCCUGAUCCAGCCAUACCGCGUGGAUGAAGAAGGCCUUCGGGUUGUAAAGCCCUUUUGUUGGGAAAGAAAAGCAGCAGGUUAAUACCCCGCUGUUCUGACGGUACCCAAAGAAUAAGUAACGGCUAACUUCGUG
Molecule: ribosomal RNA, 492 nt
Filed under: uncultured bacterium
Lineage: Bacteria
Description: partial 16S ribosomal RNA
Rfam family: Bacterial small subunit ribosomal RNA
Source: RNAcentral